GUGAGGAAUUUUCCGCAAUGGGCGAAAGCCUGACGGAGCAAUGCCGCGUGAAGGAUGAAGGCCUAUGGGUUGUAAACUUCUUUUCUCAGAAAAGAAUUAUGACGGUAUCUGAGGAAUAAGCAUCGGCUAACUCUGUGCCAGCAGCCGCGGUAAGACAGAGGAUGCAAGCGUUAUCCGGAAUGAUUGGGCGUAAAGCGUCUGUAGGUUGUUUAAAAAGUAUUCUGUCAAAGAUUAGGGCUUAACCCUAGAUAGGCAGAAUAAACUUUUAAGCUAGAGUUUGGUAGAGGCAGAGGGAAUUCCCGGUGGAGCGGUGAAAUGCGUAGAUAUCGGGAGGAACACCAUAGGCGAAGGCACUCUGCUGGGCCAAUACUAACACUGAGAGACGAAAGCGAGGGGAGCAAAUGGGAUUAGAAACCCUAGUAGUCC
Molecule: ribosomal RNA, 426 nt
Filed under: uncultured bacterium
Lineage: Bacteria
Description: partial 16S ribosomal RNA
Rfam family: Bacterial small subunit ribosomal RNA
Source: RNAcentral